ACUCAAAUGAAUAGACGGGGACCCGCACAAGCAGUGGAGUAUGUGGUUUAAUUCGAAGCAACGCGAAGAACCUUACCAGGUCUUGACAUCCUCUUGAAUAGUGUAGAGAUAUGCUAGGCUUUCGGGACAAGAGAGACAGGUGGUGCAUGGUUGUCGUCAGCUCGUGUCGUGAGAUGUUGGGUUAAGUCCCGCAACGAGCGCAACCCUUAAUUUUAGUUGCCAGCCGUAAGAGGGGCACUCUAGAAUGACUGCCGGUGACAAACCGGAGGAAGGUGGGGAUGACGUCAAAUCAUCAUGCCCCUUAUGACCUGGGCUACACACGUACUACAAUGGCCGGUACAACGGGCAGCGAAACCGCGAGGUGGAGCGAAUCCUAAAAAGCCGGUCUCAGUUCGGAUUGCAGGCUGCAACUCGCCUGCAUGAAGUCGGAAUUGCUAGUAAUCGCGGAUCAGCAUGCCGCGGUGAAUACGUUCCCGGGUCUUGCACACACCGCCCGU
RNAcentral lists this ribosomal RNA (497 nucleotides) under uncultured bacterium. RNAcentral's name for it is "partial 16S ribosomal RNA". It matches the Rfam family "Bacterial small subunit ribosomal RNA", at positions 899 to 1397 of the family's 1533-position model. The record is from RNAcentral.